UGGGGAAUAUUGCACAAUGGGCGCAAGCCUGAUGCAGCAACGCCGCGUGAGCGAGGAAGGCUUUCGGGUCGUAAAGCUCUGUCCUUGGGGAAGAAGAAUGACGGUACCCAAGGAGGAAGCCCCGGCUAACUACGUGCCAGCAGCCGCGGUAAUACGUAGGGGGCAAGCGUUAUCCGGAAUUAUUGGGCGUAAAGAGUACGUAGGUGGUUUUGUAAGCGCGGGGUGAAAGGCAGUGGCUUAACCAUUGUUAGCCUUGCGAACUGCAAGACUUGAGUGCAGGAGAGGGAAGCGGAAUUCCUAGUGUAGCGGUGAAAUGCGUAGAUAUUAGGAGGAACACCAGUGGCGAAGGCGGCUUUCUGGACUGUAACUGACACUGAGGUACGAAAGCGUGGGGAGCAAACAGGAUUAGAUACCC
Molecule: ribosomal RNA, 415 nt
Filed under: uncultured bacterium
Lineage: Bacteria
Description: bacterial SSU rRNA
Rfam family: Bacterial small subunit ribosomal RNA
Source: RNAcentral